ACUCUAAGGUGACUGCGGCUAAAAGUCGGAGGAAGUGGGGAUGACGUCAAAUCAUCAUGCCCUUAUGACCUGGGCUACACACGUGCUACAAUGGGCGGUACAAAGGGUCGCGAACCCGCGAGGGGGAGCCAAUCCCAAAAAGCCGCUCUCAGUUCGGAUUGCAGGCUGCAACUCGCCUGCAUGAAGCCGGAAUCGCUAGUAAUCGCGGAUCAGCAUGCCGCGGUGAAUACGUUCCCGGGCCUU
This 243-nucleotide ribosomal RNA is filed under the name uncultured Anoxybacillus sp. RNAcentral describes it as "partial 16S ribosomal RNA". It matches the Rfam family "Bacterial small subunit ribosomal RNA", at positions 1137 to 1382 of the family's 1533-position model. The record is from RNAcentral. Lineage: Bacteria; Bacillati; Bacillota; Bacilli; Caryophanales; Anoxybacillaceae.